CAAUACAAACAUUAUGUGUGUACUCUCCUGUUGUCCGGUUAGCCGGGCAUUGGAGCGGUGCUAUGUCUUAACAAUAAACGACUCUCGGCAACGGAUAUCUAGGCUCUCGCAUCGAUGAAGAACGUAGCGAAAUGCGAUACUUGGUGUGAAUUGCAGAAUCCCGUGAACCAUCGAGUUUUUGAACGCAAGUUGCGCCCGAAGCCUCUGGCUUAGGGCACGUCUGCCUGGGCGUCACGCAUCGCGUCUCCCCCAAAUCCACCCGAGUGGAGGGGAAGGAGGAUGGUCUCCCGUGACUCAUCGGUCGCGGCUGGCCUAAAAUUGGAGCCCUCGGCAUCGGGAUGUCGUGGCGAUAGGUGGUGAGAAGGCCUUGGCCAAGCAAGCAACCCGCCGCGCGUCACCAUGCCAACGUGAGCUCGAAGGACCCUUUAAGUUGUCUAACGGCAUCCUAACUAUUGCG
This 457-nucleotide ribosomal RNA is filed under the name Silene virginica. Its description in RNAcentral is "eukaryotic LSU rRNA". The stretch from base 80 to 234 matches the Rfam family "5.8S ribosomal RNA". The record is from RNAcentral. Lineage: Eukaryota; Viridiplantae; Streptophyta; Magnoliopsida; Caryophyllales; Caryophyllaceae.